Molecule: ribosomal RNA, 254 nt
Filed under: uncultured bacterium
Lineage: Bacteria
Description: partial 16S ribosomal RNA
Rfam family: Bacterial small subunit ribosomal RNA
Source: RNAcentral
AACGUAGGACACAAGCGUUAUCCGGAUUUACUGGGCGUAAAGCGCGUGCAGGCGGCCCGACAAGUCGUGCGUGAAAGCUCCCUGGCUCAACCGGGAGAGGUCGUACGAAACUGGCGGGCUAGAGGAUGGCAGAGGCGUGUGGAAUUCCGGGUGUAGUGGUGAAAUGCGUAGAUAUCCGGAGGAACACCAGUGGCGAAGGCGGCACGCUGGGCCAUACCUGACGCUAAGACGCGAAAGCGUGGGUAGCGAACGGG